UAUCACAGGUGGGGCAUUUUGCUCACAGUCAUAUUUCUUUUCUGAUUCUUACAGAGGAUUUCUGUUUUCAGCAAUGCCUAUACAGCACUACCUGAGACACCUUGACUCAUUAAAAAAUUAAAUAGGAUAAAACGCAACAUGCUUAGCAGGCUCUGGAAAAAAUGCUGCUGCUUUAUUUGGAAGGGUAAGCACACUGGAGCUCACACAUGGCAGCGACAUUACUCCCUGAAGCCACACAAAUCCUCAGGGUCAAGAAUAAAUUCACAGCUUGUAUUGCUUGCCCAUCUGGUUUGGCCCACGAUGUGACUGUUGAUCCAGGAGUUGAAGAGAUGGAAACCAAAAUAAGAAGAAACAAAA
Molecule: long non-coding RNA, 357 nt
Organism: Lepidothrix coronata (blue-crowned manakin)
Lineage: Eukaryota; Metazoa; Chordata; Aves; Passeriformes; Pipridae
Exons: 3
Source: RefSeq, a predicted model, not a curated record